GACGAACCGUGCGAACGUUGUUCGGAAUCACUGGGCUUAAAGGGUGCGUAGGCGGGGUGGCAAGUCUGUGGUGAAAUCCUCCGGCUCAACCGGAGAACUGCCGUGGAUACUGCCAUUCUCGAGGGGUGUAGGGGCAUGUGGAACUCAGGGUGGAGCGGUGAAAUGCGUAGAUAUCCUGAGGAACGCCGGUGGCGAAAGCGACGUGCUGGACACCUACUGACGCUGAGGCACGAAAGCCAGGGGAGCGAACGGG
Molecule: ribosomal RNA, 253 nt
Filed under: uncultured bacterium
Lineage: Bacteria
Description: partial 16S ribosomal RNA
Rfam family: Bacterial small subunit ribosomal RNA
Source: RNAcentral